AUUGAACGCUGGCGGCAGGCCUAACACAUGCCAGUCGAGCGGAUGAAGGGAGCUUGCUCCUGGAUUCAGCGGCGGACGGGUGAGUAAUGCCUAGGAAUCUGCCUGGUAGUGGGGGAUAACGUCCGGAAACGGGCGCUAAUACCGCAUACGUCCUGAGGGAGAAAGUGGGGGAUCCUCGGACCUCACGCUAUCAGAUGAGCCUAGGUCGGAUUAGCUAGUUGGUGGGGUAAAGGCCUACCAAGGCGACGAUCCGUAACUGGUCUGAGAGGAUGAUCAGUCACACUGGAACUGAGAGACGGUCCAGACUCGUACGGGAGGCAGCAGUGGGGAAUAUUGGACAAGGGGCGAAAGCCUGAUCCAGCCAUGCGGCGUGUGUGAAGAAGGUCUUCGGAUUGUAAAGCACUUUAAGUUGGGAGGAAGGGCAGUAAGUUAAGACCUUGCUGUUUUGACGUUACCAACAGAAUAAGCACCGGCUAACUUCGUG
Molecule: ribosomal RNA, 484 nt
Filed under: uncultured bacterium
Lineage: Bacteria
Description: partial 16S ribosomal RNA
Rfam family: Bacterial small subunit ribosomal RNA
Source: RNAcentral